AAGUCGUAACAAGGUCUCCGUUGGUGAACCAGCGGAGGGAUCAUUACAGGACUCGCAAGACCCCCGUAAACCACUGUGAACUUACCUACAACCCGUUGCCUCGGCGGGUGCUCCGGGCGCGUCUUCGGGCGCUCCGGGGCGCUCCAGCCCGCCGGCGGCCCCUAAACUCUGUCUCUGUAACGUUGGCAUCUCCGAGCAGACUAUAAACGAGUCAAAACUUUCAACAACGGAUCUCUUGGUUCUGGCAUCGAUGAAGAACGCAGCGAAAUGCGAUAAGUAAUGUGAAUUGCAGAAUUCAGUGAAUCAUCGAACCUUUGAACGCACAUUGCGCCCGCCAGUAUUCUGGCGGGCAUGCCUGUUCGAGCGUCAUUUCAACCCUCAGGCCCCCAGUGCCUGGCGUUGGGGAUCGGCGCGGCGCCCUCCGGGGCGCUGCCGUCCCCGAAAUUCAGUGGCGGUCUCGCUGUAGCCCUCCUCCGCGUAGUAGCACAACCUCGCGGCCUGGAGCUCGGCGGUGGCCAUGCCGUAAAACACCCCACUUCUGAAAGUUGACCUCGGAUCAGGUAGGAAUACCCGCUGAACUUAA
Molecule: ribosomal RNA, 583 nt
Filed under: uncultured fungus
Lineage: Eukaryota; Fungi
Description: eukaryotic LSU rRNA
Rfam family: 5.8S ribosomal RNA (bases 216-369)
Source: RNAcentral